AUACGGGUGUGUCGAGCGUUGCUCGGAUUCACUGGGCUUAAAGGGUGUGUAGGCGGGUCACCAAGUCCAUUGUGAAAGCCCACGGCUCAACCGUGGAAGUGCAAUGGAUACUGGUGAUCUUGAGUACGGAAGGGGAGAGUGGAACUCCUGGUGGAGCGGUGAAAUGCGUAGAUAUCAGGAGGAACGCCGGAGGCGAAGGCGACUCUCUAUUCCGUUACUGACGCUGAGGCACGAAAGCCAGGGGAGCGAACGGGAUUAGAAACCCUAGUAGUCC
This 274-nucleotide ribosomal RNA is filed under the name uncultured bacterium. RNAcentral describes it as "partial 16S ribosomal RNA". It matches the Rfam family "Bacterial small subunit ribosomal RNA", at positions 523 to 796 of the family's 1533-position model. The record is from RNAcentral.